AGAACGAACGCUGGCGGCGCGCUUAACACAUGCAAGUCGAACGGGGUGUUUGGUUUCGGCUGGACACCUAGUGGCGGACGGGUGAGUAACGCGUGGGAACCUGCCCUGGGCUCCGGGACAACCGCGGGAAACUGCGGCUAAUACCGGAUGAUCCCCUGGAUCGAAGGUGAAGGGGGCAAAGAUUUAUCGGCCUGGGAUGGGCCCGCGUCCGAUUAGCUUGUUGGUGGGGUAACGGCCCACCAAGGCAUCGAUCGGUAGCUGGUCUGAGAGGAUGAUCAGCCACACUGGGACUGAGACACGGUCCAGACUCCUACGGGAGGCAGCAGUGGGGAAUCUUGGACAAUGGGGGCAACCCUGAUCCAGCGACGCCGCGUGGGUGAUGAAGGCCUUCGGGUUGUAAAGCCCUUUCGACCGGGACGAUGAUGACGGUACCCGGAGAAGAAGCACCGGCUAACUCCGUGCCAGCAGCCGC
Molecule: ribosomal RNA, 472 nt
Filed under: uncultured bacterium
Lineage: Bacteria
Description: SSU rRNA
Rfam family: Bacterial small subunit ribosomal RNA
Source: RNAcentral